RNAcentral lists this ribosomal RNA (397 nucleotides) under Brevibacillus borstelensis AK1. RNAcentral's name for it is "bacterial SSU rRNA". It matches the Rfam family "Bacterial small subunit ribosomal RNA", at positions 1 to 398 of the family's 1533-position model. Lineage: Bacteria; Bacillati; Bacillota; Bacilli; Caryophanales; Paenibacillaceae. The record is from RNAcentral.
CUUUAUUGGAGAGUUUGAUCCUGGCUCAGGACGAACGCUGGCGGCGUGCCUAAUACAUGCAAGUCGAGCGAGUCCCUUCGGGGGCUAGCGGCGGACGGGUGAGUAACACGUAGGCAACCUGCCCGUAAGCUCGGGAUAACAUGGGGAAACUCAUGCUAAUACCGGAUAGAGUCUUCUCUCGCAUGAGAGGAGACGGAAAGGUGGCGCAAGCUACCACUUACGGAUGGGCCUGCGGCGCAUUAGCUAGUUGGUGGGGUAACGGCCUACCAAGGCGACGAUGCGUAGCCGACCUGAGAGGGUGACCGGCCACACUGGGACUGAGACACGGCCCAGACUCCUACGGGAGGCAGCAGUAGGGAAUUUUCCACAAUGGACGAAAGUCUGAUGGAGCAACGCC